GACGAACGCUGGCGGCGUGCUUAACACAUGCAAGUCGAACGGAAAGGCCCUGCUUUUGUGGGGUGCUCGAGUGGCGAACGGGUGAGUAACACGUGAGUAACCUGCCCUUGACUUUGGGAUAACUUCAGGAAACUGGGCUAAUACCCGAAAGGAACCCCCGCUUGCUGGUGGGGGGUGGGAAGGUUCGGCGGUUGGGGAUGGACUCGCGGCUUAUCAGCUUGUUGGUGGGGUAGUGGCUUACCAAGGCUUUGACGGGUAGCCGGCCUGAGAGGGUGACCGGCCACAUUGGGACUGAGAUACGGCCCAGACUCCUACGGGAGGCAGCAGUGGGGAAUAUUGCACAAUGGGCGGAAGCCUGAUGCAGCAACGCCGCGUGCGGGAUGACGGCCUUCGGGUUGUAAACCGCUUUCGCCUGUGACGAAGCGUGAGUGACGGUAAUGGGUAAAGAAGCACCGGCUAACUACGUG
This 467-nucleotide ribosomal RNA is filed under the name uncultured bacterium. Its description in RNAcentral is "partial 16S ribosomal RNA". It matches the Rfam family "Bacterial small subunit ribosomal RNA", at positions 28 to 507 of the family's 1533-position model. The record is from RNAcentral.